UACGAAGGGGGCUAGCGUUGCUCGGAAUUACUGGCGUAAAGGGCGCGUAGGCGGCCGAUCAAGUCAGGCGUGGAAAUUCCCGGGCUCAACCUGGGGGCUGCGCUUGAGACUGGUUGGCUAGAGGCCGAGAGAGGGUGGUGGAAUUCCCAGUGUAGAGGUGAAAUUCGUAGAUAUUGGGGAAGAACACCGGUGGCGAAGGCGGCCACCUGGCUCGGUACUGACGCUGAGGCGC
This 232-nucleotide ribosomal RNA is filed under the name uncultured bacterium. Its description in RNAcentral is "partial 16S ribosomal RNA". It matches the Rfam family "Bacterial small subunit ribosomal RNA", at positions 524 to 754 of the family's 1533-position model. The record is from RNAcentral.